ACGCUGGCUACAGGCUUAACACAUGCAAGUCGAGGGGAAACGACGGGGAAGCUUGCUUCCUUGGGCGUCGACCGGCGCACGGGUGAGUAACGCGUAUCCAACCUGCCUCUGACUGAGGGAUGACCCGUCGAAAGUCGGCCUAAUACCUCAUGGCAUCGUCUGCGGGCAUCCAACGACGAUUAAAGAUUUCAUCGGUCAGGGAUGGGGAUGCGUCUGAUUAGCUGGUUGGCGGGGUAACGGCCCACCAAGGCUACGAUCAGUAGGGGUUCUGAGAGGUAGGUCCCCCACAUUGGAACUGAGACACGGUCCAAACUCCUACGGGAGGCAGCAGUGAGGAAUGUUGGUCAAUGGGCGAGAGCCUGAACCAGCCAAGUAGCGUGCAGGAAGACGGCCCUAUGGGUUGUAAACUGCUUUUAUGCGGGGAUAAAGUGAGGGACGUGUCCUUCAUUGCAGGUACCGCAUGAAUAAGGACCGGCUAAUUCCGUGCCAGCAGCCGCGGUAAUACGGAAGGUCCUGGCGUUAUCCGGAUUUAUUGGGUUUAAAGGGAGCGUAGGCCGUGGAUUAAGCGUGUUGUGAAAUGCAGGUGCUCAACGUCUGCACUGCAGCGCGAACUGGUCCACUUGAGUGUGCGCAACGCAGGCGGAAUUCGUCGUGUAGCGGUGAAAUGCUUAGAUAUGACGAAGAACUCCGAUUGCGAAGGCAGCUUGCGGGAGCACAACUGACGCUGAAGCUCGAAAGUGCGGGUAUCGAACAGGAUUAGAUACCCUGGUAGUCCGCACGGUAAACGAUGGAUGCCCGUUGUCAGGCUGUUUCAGCCUGGUGACCAAGCGAAAGCAUUAAGCAUCCCACCUGGGGAGUACGCCGGCAACGGUGAAACUCAAAGGAAUUGACGGGGGCCCGCACAAGCGGA
RNAcentral lists this ribosomal RNA (910 nucleotides) under uncultured bacterium. RNAcentral's name for it is "bacterial SSU rRNA". It matches the Rfam family "Bacterial small subunit ribosomal RNA", at positions 33 to 933 of the family's 1533-position model. The record is from RNAcentral.